CUGCAGCCCGAGUGGUGAUCGAUUUUAUUGAGCCUAAAGCGUCCGUAGCCGGACUAGUAAACCCUUGGGUAAAUUGGGCAGCUUAACUGUCCAAAUUCCGAGGGGACUGCUAGUCUUGGGACCGGGAGAGGUCAGAGGUACUCAAGGGGUAGGGGCUAAAUCCUGUAAUCCUUUGGGGACCACCAGUGGCGAAGGCGUCUGACCAGAACGGAUCCGACGGUAAGGGACGAAACCCUGGGGCGCGAACCGGAUUAGAUACCCGAGUAGUCC
Molecule: ribosomal RNA, 270 nt
Filed under: uncultured archaeon
Lineage: Archaea
Description: partial 16S ribosomal RNA
Rfam family: Archaeal small subunit ribosomal RNA
Source: RNAcentral